This 59-nucleotide transfer RNA is filed under the name Stenotrophomonas maltophilia. Its description in RNAcentral is "tRNA-Ser". It matches the Rfam family "tRNA". Rfam says of the family: Transfer RNA (tRNA) molecules are approximately 80 nucleotides in length. Their secondary structure includes four short double-helical elements and three loops (D, anti-codon, and T loops). The record is from RNAcentral. Lineage: Bacteria; Pseudomonadati; Pseudomonadota; Gammaproteobacteria; Lysobacterales; Lysobacteraceae.
GGGCCGUUAGCUCAGUUGGUAGAGCANNGUCCAAGGUUCGAAUCCUUGACGGCCCACCA